AACGAACGCUGGCGGCAUGCCUAACACAUGCAAGUCGAACGAGACCUUCGGGUCUAGUGGCGCACGGGUGCGUAACGCGUGGGAACCUGCCCUUAGGUUCGGAAUAACUCCCCGAAAGAGGUGCUAAUACCGGAUAAUGUCUUCGGACCAAAGAUUUAUCGCCUUUGGAUGGGCCCGCGUUGGAUUAGCUAGUUGGUAGGGUAAAAGCCUACCAAGGCGACGAUCCAUAGCUGGUCUGAGAGGAUGAUCAGCCACACUGGGACUGAGACACGGCCCAGACUCCUACGGGAGGCAGCAGUGGGGAAUAUUGGACAAUGGGCGAAAGCCUGAUCCAGCAAUGCCGCGUGAGUGAUGAAGGCCUUAGGGUUGUAAAGCUCUUUUACCCGGGAUGAUAAUGACAGUACCGGGAGAAUAAGCGCCGGCUAACUCCGUG
RNAcentral lists this ribosomal RNA (433 nucleotides) under uncultured bacterium. Its description in RNAcentral is "partial 16S ribosomal RNA". It matches the Rfam family "Bacterial small subunit ribosomal RNA", at positions 29 to 507 of the family's 1533-position model. The record is from RNAcentral.